RNAcentral lists this ribosomal RNA (478 nucleotides) under uncultured bacterium. RNAcentral's name for it is "partial 16S ribosomal RNA". It matches the Rfam family "Bacterial small subunit ribosomal RNA", at positions 28 to 523 of the family's 1533-position model. The record is from RNAcentral.
GACGAACGCUGGCGGCGUGCUUAACACAUGCAAGUCGAACGGUAAGGCCCUUCGGGGUACACGAGUGGCGAACGGGUGAGUAACACGUGGGUGAUCUGCCCUGCACUUCGGGAUAAGCCUGGGAAACUGGGUCUAAUACCGGAUAGGACCACUGCCUGCAUGGGUGGUGGUGGAAAGCUUUUGCGGUGUGGGAUGGGCCCGCGGCCUAUCAGCUUGUUGGUGGGGUGAUGGCCUACCAAGGCGACGACGGGUAGCCGGCCUGAGAGGGUGACCGGCCACACUGGGACUGAGAUACGGCACAGACUCCUGCGGGAGGCAGCAGUGGGGAAUAUUGCACAAUGGGCGCAAGCCUGAUGCAGCGACGCCGCGUGAGGGAUGACGGCCUUCGGGUUGUAAACCUCUUUCAGCACCGACGAAGCGCAAGUGACGGUAGGUGCAGAAGAAGGACCGGCCAACUACGUGCCAGCAGCCGCCGUAA